UACGAAGGGGGCUAGCGUUGUUCGGAAUUACUGGGCGUAAAGGGCGUGCAGGCGGUUUGUUAAGUGCGGGGUGAAAGCUCCCGGCUCAACUGGGAGAGGUCCUUGCAUACUGGCAGACUUGAGGGAGGCAGAGGAAAGUGGAAUUCCCGGUGUAGUGGUGAUAUGCGUAGAUAUCGGGAGGAACACCUGUGGCGAAGGCGGCUUUCUGGGCCUUACCUGACGCUGAGACGCGAAAGCGUGGGGAGCGAACCGG
Molecule: ribosomal RNA, 253 nt
Filed under: uncultured bacterium
Lineage: Bacteria
Description: partial 16S ribosomal RNA
Rfam family: Bacterial small subunit ribosomal RNA
Source: RNAcentral